GGUUGUAGCUGGCCUUUCGGGGCAUGUGCACGCCGGAGCCCUUAAUCCAUACACACCUGUGAACUUAAUGUAAGGGUCCGUAAAAAGGCCCCUACGUCUUUCAUCAUAAACCCAGUCUAAUAGAAUGUAAUCUAUGUCCUCGCCCUAAAAAAGCGUCGAUAAACUUAUACAACUUUCAACAACGGAUCUCUUGGCUCUCGCAUCGAUGAAGAACGCAGCGAAAUGCGAUAAGUAAUGUGAAUUGCAGAUUUUCAGUGAAUCAUCGAAUCUUUGAACGCACCUUGCGCUCCUUGGUAUUCCGAGGAGCAUGCCUGUUUGAGUGUCAUUAAAUUCUCAACCCCGAACCUUUUGGUUUCGGGGCUUGGACUUGGAGCGUGCUGGCCUUCCGGGGUCGGCUCCUCUCAAAUGCAUCAGCGGAAUCUAACCUUUGGUUUCCGGAAGUCGGUGUGAUAAUCAUGUUGCGCCGUCGUUCGACCUCAAAGUCCGCUUACAAUGGUCUUUGGACAACUUAUCAAAUUUGACCUCAAAUCAGGUAGGACUACCCGCUGAACUUAAGCAUAUC
This 562-nucleotide ribosomal RNA is filed under the name Piloderma sp. YM486. RNAcentral describes it as "eukaryotic LSU rRNA". The stretch from base 171 to 325 matches the Rfam family "5.8S ribosomal RNA". The record is from RNAcentral. Lineage: Eukaryota; Fungi; Basidiomycota; Agaricomycetes; Atheliales; Atheliaceae.